GUAUGAAUUCUUUAUAUGUUAUUACAAAUAUGAAAGAGAAGGGAUUUCUUCAUGCAAAUUUGUUUAGGUUAGUUUCAGAGUACAGUCUUAAUCCAAGUAUUAAUGACAGAAGAUUGACAGAAAGGAAGAUGGAAUAUGUACUUUGGUUAGUAGAUAAAAAGGCAUAAUAAUGGAGGGAAGAUGCUGGGUUGGACAUAUGAUAAUUUAUACAUGGGGGUUUUAACCCUUCUAUUGUUGUACUCCUACAUGAAAAAGACCAUUGAUGUAAUCGCAGUUGAUAUGCAGGAAAUUAUUGGUUUUAUUAACUGGAAUGUACAAGGAGGUAAGAUAGGCAAGCUGUAUGUACAAUGAAGUUUUUUUUUUUUUUUUUUUUUUUUUUGCUAUGCUGUGUUGUUGCAAAGAUAAAAAAAAAGAAAAAAGAAGUAGUUUCUAGAAGCAAUUUUACUUGCAGCAGUUUCGGAACACUACCUUAAUCCAAAUGUUAAUGAGUUACAAUGCAGUCGAUUUGUAGUAAGGUAUUUGUUUUGAGAACUGUUGAAGUUUUUUUUUUUUUUUUUUUUGCUGUGUUGUUACAAGUGUUAAAAGAGAAACAGUUUCUCGAAGCAAUUUUACUUACAGCAGUUUCAGAACACUGCCUAAAUCCAAAUGUUAAUGAGUUACAAUGCAGUCGAUCUGUAGUAAGGUAUUCCUUUUGUGAACUGUUGAAUGUAGAAAGAAGGGUGAGAUAUGGCAUAGUCUUGAAUUGCAAGCGGUAUACAAUGAAGGCAGGAUAGAAAAGUUUUGAAUUGAGAUUGAGAUAGCACAGAGGAAAUGUAAUAGAGGAGCUAUUUUGAAGAAAUAUUAUAUGUAGAUUAUUUCCUUCUGUAAAGUUGAGAGUGGAAAUGUUUCUUGCACAGAAAAAGAAAGGUAGAGAGUAUGAAUUCUUUAUAUGUUAUUACAAAUAUGAAAGAGAAGGGAUUUCUUCAUGCAAAUUUGUUUAGGUUGUAACCCUUCUUUUGUUGUACUCCUAUAUAUGAAAAAGACCAUUGAUGUAAUAGCAGUGGAUAUGCAGGAAGUCAUUGGUUUUAUUAACUGGAAUGUACAAGUAGGGAGAUAUGGCUUACUGUAGUUUGAAAUGGCAAGAUGUAUGUAUAAUGAAGGCAAGAGAGAAAAGUGUUGAAUUGAGAUGGAGACAGCACAGAGGAAAUGUAUUUACACUGUAGAAGCAA
This is a long non-coding RNA of Strongylocentrotus purpuratus (purple sea urchin), 1208 nucleotides long. RefSeq lists it as uncharacterized. The record is from RefSeq and is a predicted model, not a curated record. NCBI's taxonomy places the organism in Eukaryota, Metazoa, Echinodermata, Echinoidea, Camarodonta, Strongylocentrotidae. The transcript has 2 exons.